GCCUCCUCGACUCCUGCACCCCAGGAACACCCAGCUACCUGUCGCUGAGCCCACAGAGAAGUUCCCGGUUGCCACAGCUCUCGGCGAUAAGCACAAGGUACCGAGGGGUGAUGUAGGCCUCGUGCAGGGACAUGAGCCUCUCGUGGUGCAGUGUCCGAAGCACCUCAUAUUCCUGCAGCACUCGUCGCUUGCCCUCGGCAGCAUACGGCACGAUCUUAGCAACGAACGUUCGGCCUGUAGCAUUCUCCCGGCAUGACCGCACAACGCCAAAGCGGCCCCUGUGUGAGAAAGAGGGACAGUACAGACUCAGGGUAGACACUAUCAGUGUGAGAGCUAAACUGGGAAGCAGGGACCAUGAGAACAAGAACACAGUGGGCUUGUGCAUGGGCUUCAGAGUUCAGUGAUAUGAACAAAGAUUGGAGCUCUCCUGGCUCUCUACCUUGGGGAGAGC
RNAcentral lists this long non-coding RNA (451 nucleotides) under Rattus norvegicus (Norway rat). Its description in RNAcentral is "long non-coding RNA NONRATT030187". The record is from RNAcentral. Lineage: Eukaryota; Metazoa; Chordata; Mammalia; Rodentia; Muridae.